This 532-nucleotide ribosomal RNA is filed under the name Cladosporium sphaerospermum. RNAcentral describes it as "eukaryotic LSU rRNA". The stretch from base 166 to 319 matches the Rfam family "5.8S ribosomal RNA". Lineage: Eukaryota; Fungi; Ascomycota; Dothideomycetes; Cladosporiales; Cladosporiaceae. The record is from RNAcentral.
GGGAAGAAAUCUGUUGACCCGAGCCUCGGGCCGGGAUGUUCACAACCCUUUGUUGUCCGACUCUGUUGCCUCCGGGGCGACCCUGCCUCCGGGCGGGGGCCCCGGGUGGACAUUUCAAACUCUUGCGUAACUUUGCAGUCUGAGUAAAUUUAAUUAAUAAAUUAAAACUUUCAACAACGGAUCUCUUGGUUCUGGCAUCGAUGAAGAACGCAGCGAAAUGCGAUAAGUAAUGUGAAUUGCAGAAUUCAGUGAAUCAUCGAAUCUUUGAACGCACAUUGCGCCCCCUGGUAUUCCGGGGGGCAUGCCUGUUCGAGCGUCAUUUCACCACUCAAGCCUCGCUUGGUAUUGGGCGACGCGGUCCGCCGCGCGCCUCAAAUCGACCGGCUGGGUCUUUCGUCCCCUCAGCGUUGUGGAAACUAUUCGCUAAAGGGUGCCGCGGGAGGCCACGCCGUAAAACAACCCCAUUUCUAAGGUUGACCUCGGAUCAGGUAGGGAUACCCGCUGAACUUAAGCAUAUCAAUAAGCGGAGGAA